AAUAAUACAUAAUUUAUAUAAAGUUAACAUAAAUUAAUUUUAUUUUCUACAUUUAGAACAGACAGAAAAAUUGCAUAAAUACAGCUGUAAGUCAUACCUCAGCUCUUUUGGCAACCAAAUAAAUAAUUUUAAAUAUAGCAGGUCAAAUUUAUUAGUGAAUUAUUGCCUGUCUCACCCAGAUUAAGAAACUCUAAAUCAAUAUUUUUUUAAUUUCUCAGUAUUCUCUACUCUUAAACAAGAAUAAUUCUUUUCAUAGUAUUGCAAAAUGCAACUCUCAAUUAUGUAUCAUUUUUUUGUGUGUGUUACAGAACAAGAAAGCAGCAUUUGUCAGCAAACAUUCACAUGUCUGCUGCUGCCUCUGUCUUCUUUUCAAGAGUAAAAUCAUCCAGAGAUAACAGACUCCAGGGAAAAAGUCAACAAAUUAUAGAGGAACAACACAAUUCCUCUGUGCAAGUUGGCAGCGUGGAUUCUACAUCCCAGGCUUGUGACGCUCUGGUGAUGACUCUGUGCCAAGAGCUCCACAUGCAUUAUUUAGCCUUAUCUUCGUGACAAGCCUAAGAGAAGCACUGUGAACCCACUGCAGAGAGAGAUGUACUAGCUUCUGCCAGAGAGGGAGACUGUGAAGCCUGGCCUCAUCUAUGAGCAAGGUCCUUCCCACCCAUCACUGACUCUCCUUUAUGAGCCAAAGGAUGAAGAAAGAAGGAG
Molecule: long non-coding RNA, 705 nt
Organism: Vicugna pacos (alpaca)
Lineage: Eukaryota; Metazoa; Chordata; Mammalia; Artiodactyla; Camelidae
Source: RefSeq, a predicted model, not a curated record